GCAGGAUUAGCUCAGCUGGUUAGAGCGUCGUACUAAUAUAGCUCUUCAAUCGAGCCUAUAAUUGGUAAUGCGAAGGUCAUGAGUUCAAGCCUCAUAUUCUGUA
Molecule: non-coding RNA, 103 nt
Organism: Xylariales sp. PMI_506
Lineage: Eukaryota; Fungi; Ascomycota; Sordariomycetes; Xylariales
Source: the annotation of a GenBank genome assembly